GACGAACGCUGGCGGCGUGCUUAACACAUGCAAGUCGAACGGAAAGGCCCUGCUUUUGUGGGGUGCUCGAGUGGCGAACGGGUGAGUAACACGUGAGUAACCUGCCCUUGACUUUGGGAUAACUUCAGGAAACUGGGGCUAUACCGGAUAGGAGCUCCUGCUGCAUGGUGGGGGUUGGAAAGUUUCGGCGGUUGGGGAUGGACUCGCGGCUUAUCAGCUUGUUGGUGGGGUAGUGGCUUACCAAGGCUUUGACGGGUAGCCGGCCUGAGAGGGUGACCGGCCACAUUGGGACUGAGAUACGGCCCAGACUCCUACGGGAGGCAGCAGUGGGGAAUAUUGCACAAUGGGCGGAAGCCUGAUGCAGCAACGCCGCGUGCGGGAUGACGGCCUUCGGGUUGUAAACCGCUUUCGCCUGUGACGAAGCGUGAGUGACGGUAAUGGGUAAAGAAGCACCGGCUAACUACG
This 465-nucleotide ribosomal RNA is filed under the name uncultured bacterium. Its description in RNAcentral is "partial 16S ribosomal RNA". It matches the Rfam family "Bacterial small subunit ribosomal RNA", at positions 28 to 505 of the family's 1533-position model. The record is from RNAcentral.